GACGAACGCUGGCGGCGUGCUUAACACAUGCAAGUCGAACGGAAAGGCCCUGCUUUUGUGGGGUGCUCGAGUGGCGAACGGGUGAGUAACACGUGAGUAACCUGCCCUUGACUUUGGGAUAACUUCAGGAAACUGGGGCUAAUACCGGAUAGGAGCUCCUGCUGCAUGGUGGGGGUUGGAAAGUUUCGGCGGUUGGGGAUGGACUCGCGGGUUAUCAGCUUGUUGGUGGGGUAGUGGCUUACCAAGGCUUUGACGGGUAGCCGGCCUGAGAGGGUGACCGGCAACAUUGGGACUGAGAUACGGCCCAGACUACUACGGGAGGCAGCAGUGGGGAAUAUUGCAAAAUGGGCGGAAGCCUGAUGCAGCAACGCCGCGUGCGGGAUGACGGCCUUCGGGUUGUAAACCGCUUUCGCCUGAGACGAAGCGUGAGUGACGGUAAUGGGUAAAGAAGCACCGGCUAACUACGUG
This 468-nucleotide ribosomal RNA is filed under the name uncultured bacterium. Its description in RNAcentral is "partial 16S ribosomal RNA". It matches the Rfam family "Bacterial small subunit ribosomal RNA", at positions 28 to 507 of the family's 1533-position model. The record is from RNAcentral.